ACUUAAAUAGUUUAUUAAAAAAUAUUGGUUUGUGAGCCCAAAGAUGUGUGAAUACACUUUAGGUA
Molecule: transfer RNA, 65 nt
Filed under: Halocaridina rubra (Hawaiian volcano shrimp)
Lineage: Eukaryota; Metazoa; Arthropoda; Malacostraca; Decapoda; Atyidae
Description: tRNA-His
Rfam family: tRNA
About the family: Transfer RNA (tRNA) molecules are approximately 80 nucleotides in length. Their secondary structure includes four short double-helical elements and three loops (D, anti-codon, and T loops).
Source: RNAcentral